Molecule: long non-coding RNA, 366 nt
Filed under: Nicotiana benthamiana
Lineage: Eukaryota; Viridiplantae; Streptophyta; Magnoliopsida; Solanales; Solanaceae
Description: long non-coding RNA (NBEN_LNC019327)
Source: RNAcentral
CAUUAUUGAAAAAAUAUGUCCACACUCUUUUAGAUGUGUAAGAUCUGAAGAACACAUGACUAACUAGUUCUUCUUUUGGCAUUACACAACACCAACAUUUAGAAGGCAUAAAAUAUCCCAUUCUCCUCAGAGCAUCAUCUAAAGGAUGCUUACCCUUCCAUAACUUCCACAUGAAAACAGAAAUCUUAAAUGGCAGUCCCUUAAUCUACAUAUUAGAAUAUGAAAGUGCAAGAUCUUUCCUCCUUCUCAAAUAAUGCCACGCAGAUUUAAUAGUGAAUUGUCCUGUAGUUUCUAGACUCCAAAUAGGCUUAUCCAGCUCAUCUGAACGUGCAGGACAUGUUAUGUUGUCUAGAAUGUGCAGAGCUA